AGCGAACGCUGGCGGCAGGCCUAACACAUGCAAGUCGAACGAACUCUUCGUAGUUACUGGCUGACGGGGGAGUAACACGGGGGAAGGUUCCUUUUGACUCCGGAUAACUCAGUGACACUUGUGCUAAUGCAGGAUGAGCUCCUCGGGGAAAAGAUACGUCGUACUUGGAGAGGCCGGCGUUCGUUUAGCUUGGUGGGGUGGUAAGAGCUGACCAAGGCGUCGCUCAGUAGCUGGUCUGAGAGACAGACCAGCCACACUGCGACUGUGACACGGCCCAGACUCCUACGGGAGGCAGCAGUGGGGAAUCUUGCGCAACGGGGGAAAGGAUGAAGCAGCCAGGCCGCGUGAAUGAUGAAGGUGUGAGGAAAGUAAAAUUCUUUCAUCGGGGACGAUAAUGACGGUACCCGGAGAAGAAGCACCGGCUAACUUCGUG
Molecule: ribosomal RNA, 433 nt
Filed under: uncultured bacterium
Lineage: Bacteria
Description: partial 16S ribosomal RNA
Rfam family: Bacterial small subunit ribosomal RNA
Source: RNAcentral